This 251-nucleotide ribosomal RNA is filed under the name uncultured Streptococcus sp. RNAcentral describes it as "partial 16S ribosomal RNA". It matches the Rfam family "Bacterial small subunit ribosomal RNA", at positions 93 to 339 of the family's 1533-position model. Lineage: Bacteria; Bacillati; Bacillota; Bacilli; Lactobacillales; Streptococcaceae. The record is from RNAcentral.
GAGUUGCGAACGGGUGAGUAACGCGUAGGUAACCUGCCUGGUAGCGGGGGAUAACUAUUGGAAACGAUAGCUAAUACCGCAUAAGAGUAGAUGUUGCAUGACAUUUACUUAAAAGGUGCAAUUGCACCACUACCAGAUGGACCUGCGUUGUAUUAGCUAGUUGGUGGGGUAACGGCUCACCAAGGCGACGAUACAUAGCCGGCCUGAGAGGGUGAACGGCCACAAGGGGACUGAGAUACGGCCCUUACUCU